CCUACGGGUGGCAGCAGUGGGGAAUAUUGCACAAUGGGGGAAACCCUGAUGCAGCGACGCCGCGUGAGUGAAGAAGUAUCUCGGUACGUAAAGCUCUAUCAGCAGGGAAGAAAAUGACGGUACCUGACUAAGAAGCCCCGGCUAACUACGUUCCAGAAGCCGCGGUAAUACGUAGGGGGCAAGCGUUAUCCGGAUUUACUGGGUGUUAAGGGGGCGUAGACGGCAGAACAGGUCUGUAGUGAAAUGCAUGGGCUUAAACCCGGAACUGCUUUGGAAACUGUGCGGCUGGAGUGCAGGAGGGGUAAGCGGAAUUCGUAGUGUAGCGGUGAAAUGCGUAGAUAUGAGGAGGAACACCGGUGGCGAAGGCGGCUUACUGGACUGUAACUGACGUUGAGGCUCGAAAGCGUGGGGAGCAAACAGGAUUAGAUACCCCGGUAGUC
This 440-nucleotide ribosomal RNA is filed under the name uncultured bacterium. RNAcentral describes it as "partial 16S ribosomal RNA". It matches the Rfam family "Bacterial small subunit ribosomal RNA", at positions 338 to 795 of the family's 1533-position model. The record is from RNAcentral.